RNAcentral lists this ribosomal RNA (391 nucleotides) under Biatoropsis hafellneri. RNAcentral's name for it is "partial large subunit ribosomal RNA". It matches the Rfam family "Eukaryotic large subunit ribosomal RNA", at positions 1 to 388 of the family's 3401-position model. The record is from RNAcentral. Lineage: Eukaryota; Fungi; Basidiomycota; Tremellomycetes; Tremellales; Tremellaceae.
GACCUCAAAUCAGGUAGGGCUACCCGCUGAACUUAAGCAUAUCAAUAAGCGGAGGAAAAGAAACUAACAAGGAUUCCCCUAGUAGCGGCGAGCGAACCGGGACGAGCUCAAAUUUGAAAUCUGGCGCCCUCCGGGCGUCCGAGUUGUAAUCUACAGAAGCGUCUUCCGCGCCGGACCGUGUCCAAGUCCCUUGGAACAGGGUAUCAAAGAGGGUGACAAUCCCGUGCUUGACACGACGACCGGUGCUCUGUGAUGCGCUCUCCACGAGUCGAGUUGUUUGGGAAUGCAGCUCAAAACGGGUGGUAAAUUCCAUCUAAAGCUAAAUAUUGGCAAGAGACCGAUAGCGAACAAGUACCGUGAGGGAAAGAUGAAAAGCACUUGGAAAGAGAGU